GAUGAACGCUGGCGGCGUGCCUAAUACAUGCAAGUCGAACGCUUCACUUCGGUGAAGAGUGGCGAACGGGUGAGUAAUACAUAAGUAACCUGGCAUCUACAGGGGGAUAACUGAUGGAAACGUCAGCUAAGACCGCAUAGGUGUAGAGAUCGCAUGAACUCUAUAUGAAAAGUGCUACGGGACUGGUAGAUGAUGGACUUAUGGCGCAUUAGCUUGUUGGUAGGGUAACGGCCUACCAAGGCGACGAUGCGUAGCCGACCUGAGAGGGUGACCGGCCACACUGGGACUGAGACACGGCCCAGACUCCUACGGGAGGCAGCAGUAGGGAACUUUCGGCAAUGGGGGAAACCCUGACCGAGCAACGCCGCGUGAAGGAAGAAGUAAUUCGUUAUGUAAACUUCUGUCAUAGAGGAAGAACGGUGGAUAUAGGGAAUGAUAUCCAAGUGACGGUACUCUAUAAGAAAGCCACGGCUAACUACGUG
RNAcentral lists this ribosomal RNA (482 nucleotides) under uncultured bacterium. RNAcentral's name for it is "partial 16S ribosomal RNA". It matches the Rfam family "Bacterial small subunit ribosomal RNA", at positions 28 to 507 of the family's 1533-position model. The record is from RNAcentral.